This 999-nucleotide ribosomal RNA is filed under the name uncultured organism. Its description in RNAcentral is "bacterial SSU rRNA". It matches the Rfam family "Bacterial small subunit ribosomal RNA", at positions 202 to 1200 of the family's 1533-position model. The record is from RNAcentral.
AAGGAUUAUUCACUUCCCGAGGGGCUCGCGGCCCAUCAGCUUGUUGGUGAGGGUAACGGCCCACCAAGGCGACAACGGGUAGCUGGUCUGAGAGGAUGGUCAGCCACACUGGAACUGAGACACGGUCCAGACACCUACGGGUGGCAGCAGUCGAGAAUCAUUCGCAAUGGGGGAAACCCUGACGAUGCGACGCCGCGUGGAGGAUGAAGGCCUUAGGGUUGUAAACUCCUGUCAAGAGGGAAUAAGCAAGUGAAGGUACCUCUAGAGGAAGGGGCGGCUAAUUCCGUGCCAGCAGCCGCGGUAACCACGGGAAGCCCCGAGCGUUGUUCGGAUUCAUUGGGCGUAAAGGGUGCGUAGGCGGCGCGGAAAAGUCCGGCGUGAAAGGCAGAGGCUCAACCUCUGGACUGCGUUGGAUACUUCCGUGCUUGAGGACUGGAGGGGAGACUGGAAUUCACGGUGUAGCAGUGAAAUUGCGUAGAUAUCGUGAGGAAGACCGGUGGCGAAGGCGAGUCUCUGGACAGAUCCUGACGCUGAGGCGCGAAAGGCUGUGUGGAGCGACCAGGAUUAGAUACCCUGGUAGGUCCAGGCAGUAAACGAUGUGAGGCUUGAUGUGGGGGGAUUCGACCCCUUCCGUGUUCGAAGCUUACGCGAUAAGCUCACCGCCUGAGGAGUACGCACGCAAGGCUAAAACUCAAAGAAAUUUGCUGGGGACCCGCACAAGCGGGGGAGUAUGGGGCUAAUUCCGGUGCAACGCGAAGAACCUUUACCUGGCCUUGACAUGCAUUGUGUCGUCGGUGAAAGCCGGCUAGUCCUGGAAACAGGACGCUUUGCACAGGUGCUGCAUGGCUGUCGUCAGCUCGUGUCGUGAGGUGUUGGGUUAAGUCCCGCAACGAGCGCAACCCUUGUGGUCAGUUACUAACCGGCUUAGCCGGAGGACUCUGGCCAGACUGCCCUGUCAAACGGGGAGGAAGGUGGGGACGACGUCAAGUCAGUAUGGCC